Molecule: long non-coding RNA, 1592 nt
Filed under: Dasypus novemcinctus (nine-banded armadillo)
Lineage: Eukaryota; Metazoa; Chordata; Mammalia; Cingulata; Dasypodidae
Description: lncRNA (ENSDNOG00000050280.1)
Source: RNAcentral
UAAUCAGGGUGCCGCAGCCCCGCUGGGUCCCCUGGGUACAGUAGCAGGGGAGGAGGGUGCAGGCUCUCCAAGAUCCUAUUUCAGGCAGGCUGAGAGACAAGACUUUUUUUUUUUUGGCCACAGGAAGAAUGUUCCCUCCAACAGAACUGCUCAUCAGGCAAGAGGAAGGGAGGAUGGCAGGGCCAGCGGUGGUGACGGGUGGCUUUCCAGCAGCCUCUUCCCCUCUUCCUUCAGUGAGUCACAGGCCUCAAGCAGAGAGAAAGCGCCAGAAAAUUGGGAAGCCCUCUGCAGUGCAACCCACCAGAGGAAGAGCCUGCCUCUCCUGACUGAUUCACCAGGACCCCGCGACCAGGCCCCCACACCCCCAGUUCGCUUGCCAGCAGGGGCGAAUCCAGUGCCUGACCCACCCCAGCCUUCCUUCCCGGGAGCCAGAAGACACUGCCCUUGUGAUGAACGUGCCAAGUGGAGCGUGUGCCCCCAGGCCCUUGUCCCUCGGCGUGGGCCUGCCCCUGCGCCGGCCGGUGGGUUAUUUACGGGCGCCCCGUGUGGCCUUUGCCCGGAGCUCAGUGUCUCCAAAAGGCUGCUCGGCCUAGCACCGGAAAUUGGAAAUUGGAAACCGAGGAUCUAGCCCAGCCAUCUCUGACUCGGGCUCCAGCAAACCCAACGCACGCUGACCUCUGCCCUGUCCACCUGGGGCAGGCGCGCCUACCUGCCAGCGCUGCCCCCCACGCCGACGGCCGGCGCCUGGUCAGCGGCCUGGGGGAGGGGAGCCUUCAAACCCAAGCCCUGGCCACGGAGGCAGCGCAGGGUGUGUGUGUGUGCAACAGAAUGAAUUCUUAAAUGUUUUUUCUCUUAAAAAUUUCAUCCGCUGUGUUCAUCAAUGCAUGGAGGUGGAACAUUUGGCAAGAUUAUUUUAAGUGGCGCUGCAACCUGUGACUGUAGUUUCAAAUCAAGGAAUUUGCUGAGCAGCUGUGGGGAAGAACAAAGGACCCGGGUGGGGGACAGCUAGGCUGAGUUUGAGGGCGAAGAGCUGGGAGCAGAAGCAGCUGGGAGGCCGGGCGCUAAGAGUCCAUAUUCUUAGCCGCUGUUCUCAUCUGCUGAACAUACCACUCGAGGCAUUAAAAUGGUAUAUAUAGACCAAGAGGAUUGAGAUUCAAUUUAAAACAAUGGCUGAGAGCGUCGGCUUGGGAGCCAGACAGACCUGACUUGAAACCGGCCCUGCCACUGACCGGCCUCAGUUGAAUUAUCUGUAAAAUGGGGAUAAUCCUGGCAACCACAUCAAAGGGAUUAUUCUGAGGAUGAGAUAAGAGAAUGCAUAGGAAGUGUUUGUUUGGCCCAGCUGGUAGCAAACAGUAGAUGUUCAAAAUGCCAUUGUUGCCAGUAGGCUGUGUCCUUGUCACUGUUUCAUUCAACAAACAUCUACAUUGAGCACCUUAUGUUCCUUAUGUUAUAUUCCAGGUGCAGGGAUAGGUGUUGUAGGGAAACAGCUAUGUGAAACACAGGGGUUAAUAUGCUAUGAGAGAAAGAAAAGAUACUUCUAUUGAGGUGAAGAGUAAUAUCUUUUGAGAAAAGUUAAUUUACAAAAUUACCCU